UCUUGGUCAAUUUAGAGGAAGUAAAAGUCGUAACAAGGUUUCCGUAGGUGAACCUGCGGAAGGAUCAUUAUUGAAUAAACCUGAUGGGUUGCUGCUGGUUCUUUAAUGAACAUGUGCACACCUGUCAUCUUUAUAUAUCCACCUGUGCACCUUUUGUAGACCUGGACAAGUUUCUUAAUGCUAGCAUUAAGGUUUUGGGAUUGACUUUUGUCUCUCCUUAUAUUUUCUGGUCUAUGUUUAUUCAUAUACCCUAAUGUAUGUUAUAGAAUGUAAUAACUGGGCCUUUGUGCCUAUAACACUAUACAACUUUCAGCAACGGAUCUCUUGGCUCUCGCAUCGAUGAAGAACGCAGCGAAAUGCGAUAAGUAAUGUGAAUUGCAGAAUUCAGUGAAUCAUCGAAUCUUUGAACGCACCUUGCGCUCCUUGGUAUUCCGAGGAGCAUGCCUGUUUGAGUGUCAUUAAUAUAUCAACCUCUUCAGCUUUUGCUUGUUGAGUGUUGGAUGUGGGGGCCUUUUGCUGGUCUUUUAAAGAGGUCAGCUCCCCUCAAAUGUAUUAGCGGAACAUCUUGUUGAUCGUUUAUUGGUGUGAUAAUUAUCUACGCUAUUGACGUGAGGCAGUUCAGCUUCUAACAGUCCAUUGACUUGGACAGUUUUUCAUUAA
This 660-nucleotide ribosomal RNA is filed under the name Cortinarius alboviolaceus. Its description in RNAcentral is "eukaryotic LSU rRNA". The stretch from base 305 to 458 matches the Rfam family "5.8S ribosomal RNA". Lineage: Eukaryota; Fungi; Basidiomycota; Agaricomycetes; Agaricales; Cortinariaceae. The record is from RNAcentral.